GAUGAACGCUAGCGAUAGGCCUAACACAUGCAAGUCGAGGGGCAUCACAUGAAGUAGCAAUACGGAUGGUGGCGACCGGCGCACGGGUGAGUAACACGUAUGCAACCUGCCUUCAACAAGGGGAUAACCCGUUGAAAGACGGACUAAUACCCUAUAACACAGGGGUCCCGCAUGGGGAUAUUUGUUAAAGAUUGAUCGGUUGAAGAUGGGCAUGCGUUCCAUUAGCUGGUUGGUGAGGUAACGGCUCACCAAGGCAACGAUGGAUAGGGGAACUGAGAGGUUUAUCCCCCACACUGGUACUGAGACACGGACCAGACUCCUACGGGAGGCAGCAGUGAGGAAUAUUGGUCAAUGGACGCAAGUCUGAACCAGCCACGUCGCGUGAAGG
This 388-nucleotide ribosomal RNA is filed under the name uncultured bacterium. RNAcentral describes it as "bacterial SSU rRNA". It matches the Rfam family "Bacterial small subunit ribosomal RNA", at positions 28 to 407 of the family's 1533-position model. The record is from RNAcentral.